Molecule: long non-coding RNA, 263 nt
Organism: Lepidothrix coronata (blue-crowned manakin)
Lineage: Eukaryota; Metazoa; Chordata; Aves; Passeriformes; Pipridae
Exons: 4
Source: RefSeq, a predicted model, not a curated record
AGGAGCAGAGCCAGCAAUACUCACGUUUUCUCAGAGCAGCAGAUAAUUCAGCAAUGCUACUGAUGAGUGAUGAUGAAGAGGAACUAAGAGACAAUAAUGGCACGUGGCCAGCAAGUCUAUUUAGUUCUCUGUUUUGGGUGGAUGAGGACUCGCAGCUUCUUGAAGAAUAUGAACAACAAAGGAGAAACGUUACACUAAGAAGCCAGCGACAGUCAGACAGCUCUGUACUGGGUAGCAAUGAUGAAGAUGAAGCGAUAGAUAAU